UGGGGAAUUUUGCACAAUGGGGGCAACCCUCAUGCAGCGACGCCGCGUUUUUUAGAAGGCCUUCGGGUUGUAAAAAUCUUUUGUAUAGGAAGAAAAUGACAGCACUAUACGAAUAAGGUCCGGCUAAUUACGUGCCAGCAGCCGCGGUAAUACGUAAGGACCGAGCGUUGUCCGGAAUCAUUGGGCGUAAAGGGUACGUAGGCGGUUAAAAAAGUUAGAAGUGAAAGGCUAUAGCUCAACUAUAGUAAGCUUUUAAAACUGUUUAACUUGAGAGAUGGAAGGGAAAGUGGAAUUCCUAGUGUAGCGGUGAAAUGCGCAGAUAUUAGGAGAAAUACCGGUGGCGAAGGCGACUUUCUGGCCAUUAUCUGACGCUGAGGUACGAAAGCGUGGGUAGCAAACAGG
RNAcentral lists this ribosomal RNA (402 nucleotides) under Actinomycetes bacterium. RNAcentral's name for it is "Actinobacteria bacterium partial 16S ribosomal RNA". It matches the Rfam family "Bacterial small subunit ribosomal RNA", at positions 355 to 776 of the family's 1533-position model. The record is from RNAcentral. Lineage: Bacteria; Bacillati; Actinomycetota; Actinomycetes.